GUCUUUUUGUAUUAUAUUUUAAGUCUAAUCUGCCCAAUGAUAAUAUUUUAAUGGCCGCAGUAUUUUAACUGUGCAAAGGUAGCAUAAUCAUUAGUUUUUUAAUUGAAGACUUGUAUGAAUGAUUGAACAAGAUAUAAGCUGUCUCAUAUAUAAUUUUUAUAGAAUUUUAUUUUUUAGUUAAAAAGCUAAAAUAUAUUUAAAAGACGAGAAGACCCUAUAGAUCUUUAUAUUUAAUUAAAUUUUAAUUUUUGAAGAAUUAUUUUAAAUAAAAUUUAUUAUAAUAUUUUAUUGGGGUGAUAUUAGAAUUUAAUAAACUUCUAAUUAAUUAAUUUAACAAAAAUUUUUGAAUAGUUUUGAUCCUUUAUUAUAGAUAAAAAAUUUAAGUUACCUUAGGGAUAACAGCGUAAUUAUUUCGGAGAGUUCUUAUCGAUGAAAUAGAUUGCGACCUCGAUGUUGGAUUAAGAUUAAUUUUGGGUGUAGCAAUUCAGAAUAUUAAGUCUGUUCGACUUUUAAAUUCUU
RNAcentral lists this ribosomal RNA (519 nucleotides) under Diaphorus sp. Pollet 0310. Its description in RNAcentral is "partial 16S ribosomal RNA". The stretch from base 395 to 519 matches the Rfam family "Bacterial large subunit ribosomal RNA", at positions 2473 to 2597 of the family's 2925-position model. Lineage: Eukaryota; Metazoa; Arthropoda; Insecta; Diptera; Dolichopodidae. RNAcentral also lists the same sequence under 1 other name. The record is from RNAcentral.